This 92-nucleotide transfer RNA is filed under the name Lentzea pudingi. RNAcentral's name for it is "tRNA-Arg". The record is from RNAcentral. Lineage: Bacteria; Bacillati; Actinomycetota; Actinomycetes; Pseudonocardiales; Pseudonocardiaceae.
GUAUGAAUGAGCGCCCGGUGCGCAGCGAAGGGUUACUUCUGGUGAUUCUCAGGUUCGAUUCCUGAGGCCGGUUCCGGCCGGUCUCGUCCACC